RNAcentral lists this ribosomal RNA (253 nucleotides) under uncultured bacterium. Its description in RNAcentral is "partial 16S ribosomal RNA". It matches the Rfam family "Bacterial small subunit ribosomal RNA", at positions 524 to 776 of the family's 1533-position model. The record is from RNAcentral.
UACGGAGGGUGCAAGCGUUAAUCGGAAUUACUGGGCGUAAAGCGUGCGCAGGCGGUUUUGUAAGUCUGUCGUGAAAGCCCCGGGCUCAACCUGGGAAUUGCAUUGGAGACUGCAAGGCUAGAAUCUGGCAGAGGGGGGUAGAAUUCCACGUGUAGCAGUGAAAUGCGUAGAGAUGUGGAGGAACACCGAUGGCGAAGGCAGCCCCCUGGGUCAAGAUUGACGCUCAUGCACGAAAGCGUGGGGAGCAAACAGG